AGCCUCCUGUUACUCUCCAUAAAUUGUUCUUACACUGACUGUAUAGAAAGAGAAGGUGAAGGAAACCUACCCCUUGUACACCUUAGCCAGGCCCUGUGUCUGGUUUGUACUGUGAAUGCAGAGACACUG
RNAcentral lists this small nucleolar RNA (129 nucleotides) under Castor canadensis (American beaver). Its description in RNAcentral is "Small nucleolar RNA SNORA51 (ENSCCNG00000028565.1)". It matches the Rfam family "Small nucleolar RNA SNORA51". From Rfam's summary of the family: ACA51 is a member of the H/ACA class of snoRNA that guide the sites of modification of uridines to pseudouridines. Lineage: Eukaryota; Metazoa; Chordata; Mammalia; Rodentia; Castoridae. The record is from Rfam by way of RNAcentral.